GAUGAACGCUGGCGGCGUGCCUAAUACAUGCAAGUCGAGCGAACAGACGAGGAGCUUGCUCCUUUGACGUUAGCGGCGGACGGGUGAGUAACACGUAGGUAACCUACCUAUAAGACUGGGAUAACUUCGGGAAACCGGAGCUAAUACCGGAUAAUAUUUCGAACCGCAUGGUUCGAUAGUGAAAGAUGGCUUUGCUAUCACAUAUAGAUGGACCUGCGCCGUAUUAGCUAGUUGGUAAGGUAACGGCUUACCAAGGCAACGAUACGUAGCCGACCUGAGAGGGUGAUCGGCCACACUGGAACUGAGACACGGUCCAGACUCCUACGGGAGGCAGCAGUAGGGAAUCUUCCGCAAUGGGCGAAAGCCUGACGGAGCAACGCCGCGUGAGUGAUGAAGGUCUUCGGAUCGUAAAACUCUGUUAUUAGGGAAGAACAAACGUGUAAGUAACUGUGCACGUCUUGACGGUACCUAAUCAGAAAGCCACGGCUAACUACGUG
Molecule: ribosomal RNA, 497 nt
Filed under: uncultured bacterium
Lineage: Bacteria
Description: partial 16S ribosomal RNA
Rfam family: Bacterial small subunit ribosomal RNA
Source: RNAcentral